UUGAUACGAUGUUUGUGGAGUAUAUUGCAGUAUAAUGGAAUGGAUCGAUGGCACAUGAGUCAUGCGUGUGGGCUCCUGGGGGCCUGGGGCAGAAGUGAAGGUAGGUGGACGGCGUGUUGGCGAACUGGAGGAUCUGCGCGUGUGCGUGUGAGUACUGUGGCAGGUGGCAUCGCUGGUUAAUUAUGGCUGCGUUCGAUGAAAAGCAGGUCUGCGCAUGUGAGGGAAAGAUAGAGAUAAAUAUUGGUAACUGAUCUAUUCUGAUUUAACUGCAUUCGGCUAAGAUAUUUGUAUGGGAUCAGCGUAGGGGGCGAAUAUUAUCCUAGUGUUUAGUUGUACCUAUAAAUAUUAGGGUAUUAUAUCAGUUUUAGAACAAUAACCAAUUAUCAAUUUACUAUUUUAUUAUUCUUUACUUUCCUGUUGUUUUAUAUUUCGUUUUCAUGGCUGUAGCAACCCUAAAAUUUGGUUAACUGUUUUGCGCUAAAAAACGGUCGUGCUGCUAAAAAACAAAAAGGUUAUCAUUCGCUAGUUUGACUAUUAAAGUUUUCCUAACUCAGCGGGAUGAAAAAAAUAUAAUAACUACAGGUGUUGGUUCUAAAGAAAAUAAGACACCAAUAUCCAUUGAUACCGACAACUAUAAUAUUUUAUAGGUGUUGGUUUCUAGAAAAGCCGGCACCAAAAUAAUCAAGCCGAGCCAGGAUUUUCUAGUCAUCCCUUUUUAGCACAAAGGGAGAGGGAGCCAGCAGUUCUUAUCCACUUGCUCCCACUGUCUCACCUACCCAUCCUCCCCUCCACCUCCUCUUCAGGCCCUCCCUUUCCUCCCCUCGUCUCCUCUCUCCCCCGCUGUGGGUGGUUCCGCCGUUGCGACCACGGCGACGGCGAUAGUGAAUGGGGCUCCUGUGGGUGGAUCCGACAGUGACGGCUUCUGCUAUGGGCAGAUCCAAUGAAGGUGGUGGCUCUCGUGGGCAGAUCUGGCAUCGGCGAUUCCGUCAAUUCUGAUGAUCCAGAUUAUUUUGAAGUGGUUACCGAGGUUCAGUCAGCUCAAGAGCAAGGCAAGUUAUACAUACAUCAUUGAUCAUAUCGAGCCUAUUUUAAAAAAUCCCUUGUUUUAUAUUAAAUUGCAUGGUUUUAGAAUGUCAUGUGGGAUGGAUGCCUAUUGUACUCAGCCUAUUGAUUAUCUUAUGCCAUUGAUAACUUGGAUUAUAUUUGACUAGAUGAUUGGUUUAGGAAUGCUUAGCCAUGCUUAGAUCAAUUAGCUCAUAAUAGGAUUCAUUAUAAUUUAGUCCUUCAUUAUAUUAUGAUGUACCACCAUGGUUAUGGUUUAAUUAAACUAAAAUAUGAUUUAAUGGUGGGUUAUGGGUACAUGCAUGAUUUGGAAGUCGUGCCCAUGACAACUAUAGAUGGUUCUUGUGAAUCCCUAGAAGAUAUACUUGUACUCACCACAGGCCAGAUGGGCUCCAGACUGAAUCUAAAGUAACUUAACCUAACUGACAUACCAUGGCAAAGGUAGAGGCGAUGGUGCAGUUCGGACCUAGCUUUGGUCUCUGCUAUAGCCGGAUUUAUCUAGGUACAAGAGGGGACUGUCCGACUUGGCACAGGAGGGGGUGAAACCUGAGGUGGGUAUGUUCGGUUAGGGAGAGUUAUAUGACGGGUUUUAUCAUGAUUUCCCCCUUUACAGUAUAUUGGUGAUACUUCGGGGCAUGGUAAAAUGUGUGGAAUUGUGUCUUGUGGGUAAAGUUGUACACCUCUAAUCAGAGUUAAAACUAUUCGAAUAGCCGUGCCCGCGGUUAUUAGGCGGUCAUCCAGCUCACCAUGAUUAGUCCCACUAUAAUGAUUUGACUUAUAGAAUUGGUGUAGUUCAGAUGGUUUUGGUUGGGCUUGUUGCAACGUGAAUUUAGCGUUGGACAGUGAUGAUUUAAUACAGCUUAAUUAUAUAUUGUUUCUACUAUUUCAAAUUAUGAUUUAUAAACGCUGCUUUUACUACAAACUAUCCUAUGGUUCCAUUCCUUUGUGAAUAUCCUUGCAUCGUACCUUUCCGUUGAUAUGACUUGUUGAGUACGGUGAUUGGUACUCAGUCUUGCUUUAUCCCCCCCUUCUCCCGUGGAAGCAAAAGAUUGGUUCAGAUGGUGAGUUCUUUUAGGAUUGAGCUUGUUCCGGACAUCGAGGAUUGCCUGUGGUUUAUGGAGGAAGCUUCGCUUUGGUCAUGAAGAUUAAGUUUAGUUCUUUUGUUUUUCCACUGCGUAUGAGUUUUAUUUUGUUAUUUUUGUAAGACGUGGAAUUGUAUCAAAUUAUCGUUUGUGUACUCUAGCUGGUCCUGGAUAGAGAUUUAAUACACAUUCUGCUUGAAAUUCGGGUUAGCGAAUUUCUGGGCGUGACAAGUCCACUGCAACAGAUGAGAGAUAAUUUUAAUAUGGUGUGGAUAAGGGGGUGUAAUUAAACUAGUUUCCUACUAAAUAUCAUGUUAUUUCUGAUAAGCCACAAAUUCUAACAGACAGCAGCAAGCAAACCAAUUUUAACUCUAAUACUCUUGAUGCCAACCCUAGUCUCUAUCAGCUUGAAAAAAAUCCAUAAAGCAAAGAGGAAUAAUGUUGUUCUUACUCAAAGCAUCUCUACAGAUACACCACACAAAAGCUACCAUAGGACAAUUAAAACAGAUGUGAUUAGAAGUUUCCAAUGGAUCAAAAGCUCGCAAAAUUCAGAGCUCUCCUAGCCUUUUUUCCUAAGUUAUUCAGCAGAUUAAAUUCUAUCCCUUUCAGAUAGCAGAUAAAAUGUUUAAUUUUCAUUGGACAGGAGCAUCACAUACUAGCUUCAUGUUAGCAUCAUUAAUACCUAUAGAAGUCAGAUCUCUGUAUAAGGAUUAAGAUGUGAAUAUCUUAUUCUUCUCCAGGCCCCAGAUCAGCUUAUCAGGGCCUUAAGAAGUGCAUGUUCUCUCUAUGGUUAACCUAAGUUCAUCCCAUUCGACUCUCUCAUUUGGUCCAAAAGUUCACCUGAAAGACGGAGCCCCACGAUCUUUUAUAGCAUGGCCCAUUUCAUAUGAAUUUCGAAGAAAGAGAUAAGAUUCAACAUUUGUUUCAAAGUCCAUUUUAUAUUUUUUUUUCUAUAUAAUAUCGAAAUCCUCACAACUUCAUAUAUUUUCCCUACAAAUCAAAUGUCCCCUUGUCAAAUUUUCGAGUAGCAUGUAAAACCAAGACAUACUGAACUACUGGCAGCCUGGAGGCUUGUCGAGCCUUGCAGCCAGUGGCGCUGGGACGACGCCAGCUACCAAAAUCCUGCUUGCAGCGUACGUACAUGGAGAUGCUUCCUGGCUCGAUCCGCGAGCGGUGGUGGUGCUCUCAGUUUUCCUGAUGCCGCCCAUUCGAAUCGAUCACUCCCAGUGAUUUCUCAAGCGAGGGGGCGCGUAUGUGUGAAAUGGGCUGAUUUCUUCACUGCCGCUCAUGUGUGCGUGGAAGUUCGGUCGAGCUUUGCGUAUCAAUUUUGGCAAAUUUUGCUACAUGACAUUAGCUUCA
Oryza sativa Japonica Group (Japanese rice) is the source of this 3503-nucleotide long non-coding RNA. RefSeq lists it as uncharacterized. The record is from RefSeq and is a predicted model, not a curated record. NCBI's taxonomy places the organism in Eukaryota, Viridiplantae, Streptophyta, Magnoliopsida, Poales, Poaceae.